Molecule: transfer RNA, 73 nt
Filed under: Camelus bactrianus (Bactrian camel)
Lineage: Eukaryota; Metazoa; Chordata; Mammalia; Artiodactyla; Camelidae
Also listed under: 2 other names
Rfam family: tRNA
About the family: Transfer RNA (tRNA) molecules are approximately 80 nucleotides in length.
Source: Rfam by way of RNAcentral
GAGGGUAUAGCUCAAGUGGUAGGGCUCAUAUUUAGCAUGCACGAGGCCCUGGGUUCGAUCCCCAGUACCUCCU